Molecule: small nucleolar RNA, 147 nt
Filed under: Heterocephalus glaber (naked mole-rat)
Lineage: Eukaryota; Metazoa; Chordata; Mammalia; Rodentia; Bathyergidae
Description: Small nucleolar RNA SNORA57 (ENSHGLG00000047793.1)
Rfam family: Small nucleolar RNA SNORA57
About the family: U99 belongs to the H/ACA class of snoRNAs which are thought to guide the sites of modification of uridines to pseudouridines, the target for this family is unknown.
Source: RNAcentral
CCUCCAUUUCUUGACAGAGACCAGAUUGUGAUCCUGCUCCUUUACAUAGAAAGGCAGAAGGAAAGGACUCUGGCCCCCCUCAGUGUCAAGUCUUCAGUGCCAGUGGCUUCCCAUCUGCAGGUUCUAUCCUCGAACACCAGAACAUGG